GGUUUGAGAGGAUGAUCAGCCACACUGGGACUGAGACACGGCCCAGACUCCUACGGGAGGCAGCAGUGGGGAAUCUUAGACAAUGGGGGCAACCCUGAUCUAGCCAUGCCGCGUGAGUGAUGAAGGCCUUAGGGUUGUAAAGCUCUUUCAGCUGGGAAGAUAAUGACGGUACCAGCAGAAGAAGCCCCGGCUAACUCCGUGCCAGCAGCCGCGGUAAUACGGAGGGGGCUAGCGUUGUUCGGAAUUACUGGGCGUAAAGCGCACGUAGGCGGACCGGAAAGUUGGGGGUGAAAUCCCGGGGCUCAACCUCGGAACUGCCUUCAAAACUACUGGUCUUGAGUUCGAGAGAGGUGA
Molecule: ribosomal RNA, 354 nt
Filed under: bacterium LimA-10-J-112
Lineage: Bacteria
Also listed under: 1 other name
Description: bacterial SSU rRNA
Rfam family: Bacterial small subunit ribosomal RNA
Source: RNAcentral